This 2902-nucleotide ribosomal RNA is filed under the name Shigella flexneri. Its description in RNAcentral is "bacterial LSU rRNA". It matches the Rfam family "Bacterial large subunit ribosomal RNA". RNAcentral also lists the same sequence under 1 other name. Lineage: Bacteria; Pseudomonadati; Pseudomonadota; Gammaproteobacteria; Enterobacterales; Enterobacteriaceae. The record is from RNAcentral.
UUAAGCGACUAAGCGUACACGGUGGAUGCCCUGGCAGUCAGAGGCGAUGAAGGACGUGCUAAUCUGCGAUAAGCGUCGGUAAGGUGAUAUGAACCGUUAUAACCGGCGAUUUCCGAAUGGGGAAACCCAGUGUGAUUCGUCACACUAUCAUUAACUGAAUCCAUAGGUUAAUGAGGCGAACCGGGGGAACUGAAACAUCUAAGUACCCCGAGGAAAAGAAAUCAACCGAGAUUCCCCCAGUAGCGGCGAGCGAACGGGGAGCAGCCCAGAGCCUGAAUCAGUGUGUGUGUUAGUGGAAGCGUCUGGAAAGGCGUGCGAUACAGGGUGACAGCCCCGUACACAAAAAUGCACAUACUGUGAGCUCGAUGAGUAGGGCGGGACACGUGGUAUCCUGUCUGAAUAUGGGGGGACCAUCCUCCAAGGCUAAAUACUCCUGACUGACCGAUAGUGAACCAGUACCGUGAGGGAAAGGCGAAAAGAACCCCAGCGAGGGGAGUGAAAAAGAACCUGAAACCGUGUACGUACAAGCAGUGGGAGCACGCUUAGGCGUGUGACUGCGUACCUUUUGUAUAAUGGGUCAGCGACUUAUAUUCUGUAGCAAGGUUAACCGAAUAGGGGAGCCGAAGGGAAACCGAGUCUUAACUGGGCGUUAAGUUGCAGGGUAUAGACCCGAAACCCGGUGAUCUAGCCAUGGGCAGGUUGAAGGUUGGGUAACACUAACUGGAGGACCGAACCGACUAAUGUUGAAAAAUUAGCGGAUGACUUGUGGCUGGGGGUGAAAGGCCAAUCAAACCGGGAGAUAGCUGGUUCUCCCCGAAAGCUAUUUAGGUAGCGCCUCGUGAAUUCAUCUCCGGGGGUAGAGCACUGUUUCGGCAAGGGGGUCAUCCCGACUUACCAACCCGAUGCAAACUGCGAAUACCGGAGAAUGUUAUCACGGGAGACACACGGCGGGUGCUAACGUCCGUCGUGAAGAGGGAAACAACCCAGACCGCCAGCUAAGGUCCCAAAGUCAUGGUUAAGUGGGAAACGAUGUGGGAAGGCCCAGACAGCCAGGAUGUUGGCUUAGAAGCAGCCAUCAUUUAAAGAAAGCGUAAUAGCUCACUGGUCGAGUCGGCCUGCGCGGAAGAUGUAACGGGGCUAAACCAUGCACCGAAGCUGCGGCAGCGACGCUUAUGCGUUGUUGGGUAGGGGAGCGUUCUGUAAGCCUGUGAAGGUGUGCUGUGAGGUAUGCUGGAGGUAUCAGAAGUGCGAAUGCUGACAUAAGUAACGAUAAAGCGGGUGAAAAGCCCGCUCGCCGGAAGACCAAGGGUUCCUGUCCAACGUUAAUCGGGGCAGGGUGAGUCGACCCCUAAGGCGAGGCCGAAAGGCGUAGUCGAUGGGAAACAGGUUAAUAUUCCUGUACUUGGUGUUACUGCGAAGGGGGGACGGAGAAGGCUAUGUUGGCCGGGCGACGGUUGUCCCGGUUUAAGCGUGUAGGCUGGUUUUCCAGGCAAAUCCGGAAAAUCAAGGCCGAGGCGUGAUGACGAGGCACUACGGUGCUGAAGCAACAAAUGCCCUGCUUCCAGGAAAAGCCUCUAAGCAUCAGGUAACAUCAAAUCGUACCCCAAACCGACACAGGUGGUCAGGUAGAGAAUACCAAGGCGCUUGAGAGAACUCGGGUGAAGGAACUAGGCAAAAUGGUGCCGUAACUUCGGGAGAAGGCACGCUGAUACGUAGGUGAAGCGACUUGCUCGUGGAGCUGAAAUCAGUCGAAGAUACCAGCUGGCUGCAACUGUUUAUUAAAAACACAGCACUGUGCAAACACGAAAGUGGACGUAUACGGUGUGACGCCUGCCCGGUGCCGGAAGGUUAAUUGAUGGGGUUAGCGCAAGCGAAGCUCUUGAUCGAAGCCCCGGUAAACGGCGGCCGUAACUAUAACGGUCCUAAGGUAGCGAAAUUCCUUGUCGGGUAAGUUCCGACCUGCACGAAUGGCGUAAUGAUGGCCAGGCUGUCUCCACCCGAGACUCAGUGAAAUUGAACUCGCUGUGAAGAUGCAGUGUACCCGCGGCAAGACGGAAAGACCCCGUGAACCUUUACUAUAGCUUGACACUGAACAUUGAGCCUUGAUGUGUAGGAUAGGUGGGAGGCUUUGAAGUGUGGACGCCAGUCUGCAUGGAGCCGACCUUGAAAUACCACCCUUUAAUGUUUGAUGUUCUAACGUGGACCCGUGAUCCGGGUUGCGGACAGUGUCUGGUGGGUAGUUUGACUGGGGCGGUCUCCUCCUAAAGAGUAACGGAGGAGCACGAAGGUUGGCUAAUCCUGGUCGGACAUCAGGAGGUUAGUGCAAUGGCAUAAGCCAGCUUGACUGCGAGCGUGACGGCGCGAGCAGGUGCGAAAGCAGGUCAUAGUGAUCCGGUGGUUCUGAAUGGAAGGGCCAUCGCUCAACGGAUAAAAGGUACUCCGGGGAUAACAGGCUGAUACCGCCCAAGAGUUCAUAUCGACGGCGGUGUUUGGCACCUCGAUGUCGGCUCAUCACAUCCUGGGGCUGAAGUAGGUCCCAAGGGUAUGGCUGUUCGCCAUUUAAAGUGGUACGCGAGCUGGGUUUAGAACGUCGUGAGACAGUUCGGUCCCUAUCUGCCGUGGGCGCUGGAGAACUGAGGGGGGCUGCUCCUAGUACGAGAGGACCGGAGUGGACGCAUCACUGGUGUUCGGGUUGUCAUGCCAAUGGCACUGCCCGGUAGCUAAAUGCGGAAGAGAUAAGUGCUGAAAGCAUCUAAGCACGAAACUUGCCCCGAGAUGAGUUCUCCCUGACCCUUUAAGGGUCCUGAAGGAACGUUGAAGACGACGACGUUGAUAGGCCGGGUGUGUAAGCGCAGCGAUGCGUUGAGCUAACCGGUACUAAUGAACCGUGAGGCUUAACCUU